This 253-nucleotide ribosomal RNA is filed under the name uncultured bacterium. Its description in RNAcentral is "partial 16S ribosomal RNA". It matches the Rfam family "Bacterial small subunit ribosomal RNA", at positions 57 to 305 of the family's 1533-position model. The record is from RNAcentral.
GCAAGUCGAACGCAAAAUUUUUUCUUCGGAGAAAAGAGUAGAGUGGCGCACGGGUGAGUAACGCGUAAGUUAUCUACCCUGGCAUCUGGAAUAACUCACCGAAAGGUGUGCUAAUACCGGAUACGUUGAUUUAUCAAGAAAGGUGGCCUCUGAUUUAAGCUACCGUGCCGGGAGGAGCUUGCGUACCAUUAGCUAGUUGGUGGGGUAAUGGCCUACCAAGGCAACGAUGGUUAGCGGGUCUGAGAGGAUGAUC